This 464-nucleotide ribosomal RNA is filed under the name uncultured bacterium. RNAcentral's name for it is "partial 16S ribosomal RNA". It matches the Rfam family "Bacterial small subunit ribosomal RNA", at positions 29 to 507 of the family's 1533-position model. The record is from RNAcentral.
ACGAACGCUGGCGGCGUGCUUAACACAUGCAAGUCGUACGGUAAGGCCCUUUCGGGGGUCCCCGAGUGGCGAACGGGUGAGUAACACGUGAGUAACCUGCCCACAACUUUGGGAUAACGCUAGGAAACUGGUGCUAAUACUGGAUAUGUGCUCCUGCUGCAUGGUGGGGGUUGGAAAGCUCCGGCGGUUGUGGAUGGACUCGCGGCCUAUCAGCUUGUUGGUGGGGUAGUGGCCUACCAAGGCGGCGACGGGUAGCCGGCCUGAGAGGGUGACCGGCCACAUUGGGACUGAGAUACGGCCCAGACUCCUACGGGAGGCAGCAGUGGGGAAUAUUGCACAAUGGGCGCAAGCCUGAUGCAGCAACGCCGCGGGCGGGAUGACGGCCUUCGGGUUGUAAACCGCUUUCAGCAGGGACGAAGCUUUUUGUGACGGUACCUGCAGAAGAAGCACCGGCUAACUACGUG